Molecule: ribosomal RNA, 510 nt
Filed under: uncultured bacterium
Lineage: Bacteria
Description: partial 16S ribosomal RNA
Rfam family: Bacterial small subunit ribosomal RNA
Source: RNAcentral
GAUGAACGCUGGCGGCGUGCUUAACACAUGCAAGUCGAACGAAGAGCGAUGGAAGCUUGCUUCUAUCAAUUUUAGUGGCGAACGGGUGUGUAACGUGUAAUCAACCUGUCUUUCAGAGGGGGACCACAGUUGGAAACGACUGCUAAUACCGCAUACGAUCUAAACUCGGCAUCGAGGAUAGAUGAAAGGUGGUCUCUACAUGUAAGCUAUCACUGAAGGAGGGUAUUGCGUCUGAUUAGCUAGGUGGAGGGGUAGCGGCCCACCAAGGCGAUGAUCAGUAGCCGGUCUGAGAGGACGAACGGCCACAUUGGGACUGAGACACGGCCCAGACUCCUACGGGAGGCAGCAGUGGGGAAUCUUCCGCAAUGGACGAAAGUCUGACGGAGCAACGCCGCGUGAGUGAUGACGGCCUUCGGGUUGUAAAGCUCUGUUAAUCGGGACGAAAGGCCUUCUUGCGAAUAGUGAGAAGGAUUGACGGUACCGGAAUAGAAAGCCACGGCUAACUACGUG